CCUACGGGAGGCAGCAGUAGGGAAUCUUUCACAAUGGGCGAAAGCCUGAUGGAGCAACGCCGCGUGCAGGAUGAAGGCCUUCGGGUUGUAAACUGCUUUUAUAAGCGAGAAAUAUGAUGGUAACUUAUGAAUAAGGAUCGGCUAACUACGUGCCAGCAGCCGCGGUCAUACGUAGGAUCCGAGCAUUAUCCGGAGUGACUGGGUGUAAAGAGUUGCGUAGGUGGCAUAAUAAGUAGCUAGUGAAAUCUGGUGGCUCAACCAUUCAGACUAUUAGCUAAAAUGUUAAGCUCGAGACCGUUAGGGGUAACUGGAAUUUCUAGUGUAGGAGUGAAAUCCGUAGAUAUUAGAAGGAACACCAAUAGCGUAGGCAGGUUGCUGGGACGGUUCUGACACUAAGGCACGAAAGCGUAGGGAGCAAACGGGAUUAGAUACCCGAGUAGUC
RNAcentral lists this ribosomal RNA (442 nucleotides) under uncultured bacterium. Its description in RNAcentral is "partial 16S ribosomal RNA". It matches the Rfam family "Bacterial small subunit ribosomal RNA", at positions 338 to 795 of the family's 1533-position model. The record is from RNAcentral.